CAAUAAGACCCGUUGGUUGAAAUGUAAAAAGAGGCAUUUUACCUGAAGCAGUGUUGGAAGGCUGAAUUGGAGCAAAUGGAGUCGAUUAUUUGAAAAUUGUUCCUGACAUUUUGCUUAAACAUGAGCCUAUCCUGGUUGCCUGACUUUGCUGGCCCCGAGGGUCUCCCACAGCCCAGCAGUGGAGUCGGUGUCUUCUGCCUUCGCAGGCCUGCCCAUUGGCCACAGCUCCCCUCAGACCUCCUGAGAUCUCGUUUCCAGAUUGGCUCCUCUGAGAAUACUGACACUCAGUUCCUGCAGAGCCUCCAACAAGGUGUGUGGGCAUCCUCUGUCCUUCAGCAUCAGUCACCCAAGCUGGGAACCCCAGAGGAGGAAGCACCUGUUUUUGCCCUAACUUAGGGAAGGGCUUUGGAUUCUCCGCCAUUCAGAAUGAGUCACUGUGAGACUGCGGAGCGGAUUUUACUCAUCCCCCAGGAAUGGACCCUUGGAAGGCUCCAGAAUGACUAGCCUCAAGUGUUCUGUCUCAGGCACGGGGCAUUUUCCCCCACUCCACGUCUGCAGUCACUUCCUCUCUGGACACAUCCUGUUUCUGGGAGCAGGCGGCAUGCCAAGCAGAUUGCAGCCUCUGAGCAGACGGGCGGAGACAUCCUUCCUCUUAUUUCUAGUACCUAAUCCCAUCUUCCUUCCCAGUCAGAGAUAUCGAUCAGCAUCUCUGCUUUUCCCAGGUCCCUGCACGCCAGGGAGGGAGAGUAGAGAAGGAACAUGUUUCUAUUGGCAACUCCAACUUAUUGGAAGUGCUUAGAAACCUCUGCUGAUUUCUCACCAGCUUCUGAAGCACAGCUCGAAGUGGAAGCCAGAGAUGUUAAACACAGUGUCCCUUGUUCAGUUGGGAGAAAAGAGGCAUGAGCACUUCUCCGUGUCUUGGCCCAAGGGCACACACCGUGAGUCAGCGAUGUCUCCCAGAAGGGGUCUGGAGUCCCAUCCACAGGUGACAUGUUUUACUUUAUUCACGCCCCACCCAGGCCUUCUGGUUGCUUCCUUCACAUCUCUGUGGUGUCUGUUACCACUCUAUCAUCAGCUUGCUGUCUCCCACAAACAUGCUGGGAUUUUCCAACCAUGAGAUCUUCUCUUCCUCUUUUAUUCUUUUUUGGACUUGUGA
Molecule: long non-coding RNA, 1156 nt
Filed under: Homo sapiens (human)
Lineage: Eukaryota; Metazoa; Chordata; Mammalia; Primates; Hominidae
Description: HSALNT0243873
Source: RNAcentral